ACACGCAUUCCAACGGACAAUCAUACACAAAGCAAACAAGCUAUAAUUAGAACAAUACACCAACAGUGAUAGAGCAAAUAUAAAAGUUUAUAAAAAUGUUCUACGCAGCACUACGAUCACAAGAACGUAAAGAUCACGAAAUUCGGAGUUAAAACGGAGAAGUUAUGCAUUUUCUAAGAUUUUCUAUAGAAAAAUAAUUAAUUAAAUAGUACCACAAAAUUAAAAAGUUUUAAACCAGUGAAAC
Molecule: long non-coding RNA, 244 nt
Filed under: Sorghum bicolor (sorghum)
Lineage: Eukaryota; Viridiplantae; Streptophyta; Magnoliopsida; Poales; Poaceae
Description: long non-coding RNA (SBIC_LNC017411)
Source: RNAcentral